This 479-nucleotide ribosomal RNA is filed under the name uncultured eukaryote. RNAcentral's name for it is "SSU rRNA". It matches the Rfam family "Eukaryotic small subunit ribosomal RNA", at positions 73 to 549 of the family's 1831-position model. The record is from RNAcentral.
GAUUAAUGGUGAAGCCGCGAAUGGCUCAUUACAACAGCCAUAGUUUCUUAGAUCUUACUUUUCUACUUGGAUAACUGUGGUAAUUCUAGAGCUAAUACACGCAAACAAGCUCAGACCUUACGGAAUGAGCGCAUUUAUUAGAACAAAAACCAAUCGGAUCUCGGUCCGUCAUUUGGUGAAUCUGAAUAACUUUGCUGAUCGCACGGUCAUCGUACCGGCGACAUAUCUUUCAAAUGUCUGCCUUAUCAACUUUCGAUGGUAGUUUAUGCGCCUACCAUGGUUGUAACGGGUAACGGAGAAUAAGGGUUCGACUCCGGAGAGGGAGCCUGAGAAACGGCUACCACAUCCAAGGAAGGCAGCAGGCACGCAAAUUACCCACUCCCAGCACGGGGAGGUAGUGACGAAAAAUAACGAGACGGCUCGCUAUGCGGUCCGUCAUCGGAAUGGGUACAAUUUAAAUCCUUUAACGAGGAUCUAUU